This 533-nucleotide long non-coding RNA is filed under the name Pongo abelii (Sumatran orangutan). Its description in RNAcentral is "lincRNA". Lineage: Eukaryota; Metazoa; Chordata; Mammalia; Primates; Hominidae. The record is from RNAcentral.
GCUCCUGCUCCUGCCGUCUGGACAAAGGGCUCACCCGUUGCCAUCUCAGACACCAGAGGCUCCCACUUGACCAGGGGAAGCUGUUCAUGUUCUAUCCUGCGUGUUCUUGAGAAAGUUUUGAUGACAGAAAACAUCACACAGAAGGGGCAGGCAUCACAAGUUUCCAGCUCCAUGGAUUUUUGCAAACUGAGCACAUUUGUGGGCCAGGAGUGGGGCCCACAGCGAGAAUAUCCUUCCUGCUGCUCCUGCCGUCCAUCCAUCAGCACAGCCAGUUCCUGGCUGUGGAACACACAGAGCUGUGCACUGUUGAGUUUACCGCGAUGAGAACAGUGAGUGUCUUUCAUCUGGCUGCAGUUGCUGGAGGCACUGCCUGCUCUGGCCUCCUCGCUCUGGAACAUUCCCUGCUGAACAAUGACACCAGGGAAGGCCAAGGAUGGGCACACAAGGCUCAGUCCUUCACCUGAUGGUGGCUUGGCCAUGUUUAUCUUUCCCUUUUCUCAAAGACCUGUGUGGGGCCAGAGAGAGCUGGGGUU